This 144-nucleotide unclassified non-coding RNA is filed under the name uncultured fungus. RNAcentral's name for it is "sequence contains ITS1, 5.8S rRNA gene". Lineage: Eukaryota; Fungi. The record is from RNAcentral. RNAcentral also lists the same sequence under 1 other name.
CCAAAGAUGGCGGGCCCCCGCGCCCCCGUCCCCAACCCAUUGUUGACCAAACCCCUUUUGCCUCGGGGGCAGAGCGUCCGCCGCCGCCCCCGGAGGACCGCCGAACGCUGUCUCUUUGCGUCAGAGUAUUGAUUAAAUAAAUGA